This 510-nucleotide ribosomal RNA is filed under the name uncultured bacterium. RNAcentral describes it as "partial 16S ribosomal RNA". It matches the Rfam family "Bacterial small subunit ribosomal RNA", at positions 28 to 507 of the family's 1533-position model. The record is from RNAcentral.
GACGAACGCUGGCGGCGUGCUUAACACAUGCAAGUCGAACGAAGAGCGAUGGAAGCUUGCUUCUAUCAAUCUUAGUGGCGAACGGGUGAGUAACGCGUAAUCAACCUGCCCUUCAGAGGGGGACAACAGUUGGAAACGACUGCUAAUACCGCAUACGUUCUAAUCUCGGCAUCGAGGAUAGAUGAAAGGUGGCCUCUACAUGUAAGCUAUCAUUGAAGGAGGGGAUUGCGUCUGAUUAGUUAGUUGUAGGGGUAACGGCCCACCAAGGCGAUGAUCAGUAGCCGGUCUGAGAUGAUGAGCGGCCACAUUGGGACUGAGACACGGCCCAGUCGCCUACGGGAGGCAGCAGGGGGGAAUCUUCCGCAAUGGGCGGAAGUCUGACGGAGCAACGCCGCGGGAGUGAUGACGGCCUUCGGGUUGGAAAGCUCUGUUAAUCGGGACGAAAGGCCUUCUUGCGAAUAGUGAGAAGGAGUGACGGUACCGGAAUAGAAAGCCACGGCUAACUACGUG